AUUGAACGCUGGCGGCAGGCCUAACACAUGCAAGUCGAACGGUAACAGGAAGAAGCUUGCUUCUUUGCUGACGAGUGGCGGACGGGUGAGUAAUGUCUGGGAAACUGCCUGAUGGAGGGGGAUAACUACUGGAAACGGUAGCUAAUACCGCAUAACGUCGCAAGACCAAAGAGGGGGACCUUCGGGCCUCUUGCCAUCGGAUGUGCCCAGAUGGGAUUAGCUAGUAGGUGGGGUAACGGCUCACCUAGGCGACGAUCCCUAGCUGGUCUGAGAGGAUGACCAGCCACACUGGAACUGAGACACGGUCCAGACUCCUACGGGAGGCAGCAGUGGGGAAUAUUGCACAAUGGGCGCAAGCCUGAUGCAGCCAUGCCGCGUGUAUGAAGAAGGCCUUCGGGUUGUAAAGUACUUUCAGCGGGAAGGAAGGGAGUAAAGUUAAUACCUUUGCUCAUUGACGUUACCCGCAGAAGAAGCACCGGCUAACUCCGUG
Molecule: ribosomal RNA, 490 nt
Filed under: uncultured bacterium
Lineage: Bacteria
Description: partial 16S ribosomal RNA
Rfam family: Bacterial small subunit ribosomal RNA
Source: RNAcentral